AAUAAACGCUGGCGGCGUGCCUAACACAUGCAAGUCGAGCGAGAAAGCUCCUUCGGGAGUUAGUAAAGCGGCGAACGGGUGAGCAACACGUGAGAAUCUACCCUUUAGUGAAGAAUACCCUCGAGAAAUCGAGGCUAAUACUGCAUACGUCCCUUCGGGGAGAAAGAUGGCCUCUUUGCUAUCGCUAAAGGAUGAGCUUGCGUACUAUUAGCUAGUUGGCGGGGUAAAGGCCCACCAAGGCAAUGAUGGUUAACCGGCCUGAGAGGGUGUACGGUCACACUGGAACUUAGACACGGUCCAGACUCCUACGGGAGGCAGCAGUGAGGAAUCUUGCGCAAUGGGCGAAAGCCUGACGCAGCGACGCCGCGUGGAGGAUGACGGUUUUCGGAUUGUAAACUCCUGUUAAGCGGGAAGAAAGCCUUGUUUCUAAUACAAGCAAGGUAUGACGGUACCGCUAGAGAAAGCACCGGCUAACUUCGUGCCAGCAGCCGCGGUAAGGUGCGCG
Molecule: ribosomal RNA, 505 nt
Filed under: uncultured bacterium
Lineage: Bacteria
Description: bacterial SSU rRNA
Rfam family: Bacterial small subunit ribosomal RNA
Source: RNAcentral